Molecule: ribosomal RNA, 1510 nt
Filed under: Serratia entomophila
Lineage: Bacteria; Pseudomonadati; Pseudomonadota; Gammaproteobacteria; Enterobacterales; Yersiniaceae
Description: bacterial SSU rRNA
Rfam family: Bacterial small subunit ribosomal RNA
Source: RNAcentral
AGAGUUUGAUCAUGGCUCAGAUUGAACGCUGGCGGCAGGCCUAACACAUGCAAGUCGAGCGGUAGCACGGGAGAGCUUGCUCUCUGGGUGACGAGCGGCGGACGGGUGAGUAAUGUCUGGGAAACUGCCUGAUGGAGGGGGAUAACUACUGGAAACGGUAGCUAAUACCGCAUAACGUCUACGGACCAAAGUGGGGGACCUUCGGGCCUCACGCCAUCAGAUGUGCCCAGAUGGGAUUAGCUAGUAGGUGGGGUAAUGGCUCACCUAGGCGACGAUCCCUAGCUGGUCUGAGAGGAUGACCAGCCACACUGGAACUGAGACACGGUCCAGACUCCUACGGGAGGCAGCAGUGGGGAAUAUUGCACAAUGGGCGCAAGCCUGAUGCAGCCAUGCCGCGUGUGUGAAGAAGGCCUUCGGGUUGUAAAGCACUUUCAGCGAGGAGGAAGGGNCAUUGACGUUACUCGCAGAAGAAGCACCGGCUAACUCCGUGCCAGCAGCCGCGGUAAUACGGAGGGUGCAAGCGUUAAUCGGAAUUACUGGGCGUAAAGCGCACGCAGGCGGUUUGUUAAGUCAGAUGUGAAAUCCCCGCGCUUAACGUGGGAACUGCAUUUGAAACUGGCAAGCUAGAGUCUCGUAGAGGGGGGUAGAAUUCCAGGUGUAGCGGUGAAAUGCGUAGAGAUCUGGAGGAAUACCGGUGGCGAAGGCGGCCCCCUGGACGAAGACUGACGCUCAGGUGCGAAAGCGUGGGGAGCAAACAGGAUUAGAUACCCUGGUAGUCCACGCUGUAAACGAUGUCGAUUUGGAGGUUGUGCCCUUGAGGCGUGGCUUCCGGAGCUAACGCGUUAAAUCGACCGCCUGGGGAGUACGGCCGCAAGGUUAAAACUCAAAUGAAUUGACGGGGGCCCGCACAAGCGGUGGAGCAUGUGGUUUAAUUCGAUGCAACGCGAAGAACCUUACCUACUCUUGACAUCCAGAGAACUUUCCAGAGAUGGAUUGGUGCCUUCGGGAACUCUGAGACAGGUGCUGCAUGGCUGUCGUCAGCUCGUGUUGUGAAAUGUUGGGUUAAGUCCCGCAACGAGCGCAACCCUUAUCCUUUGUUGCCAGCGAUUCGGUCGGGAACUCAAAGGAGACUGCCGGUGAUAAACCGGAGGAAGGUGGGGAUGACGUCAAGUCAUCAUGGCCCUUACGAGUAGGGCUACACACGUGCUACAAUGGCGUAUACAAAGAGAAGCGAGCUCGCGAGAGUAAGCGGACCUCAUAAAGUACGUCGUAGUCCGGAUUGGAGUCUGCAACUCGACUCCAUGAAGUCGGAAUCGCUAGUAAUCGUAGAUCAGAAUGCUACGGUGAAUACGUUCCCGGGCCUUGUACACACCGCCCGUCACACCAUGGGAGUGGGUUGCAAAAGAAGUAGGUAGCUUAACCUUCGGGAGGGCGCUUACCACUUUGUGAUUCAUGACUGGGGUGAAGUCGUAACAAGGUAACCGUAGGGGAACCUGCGGUUGGAUCACCU